This 117-nucleotide ribosomal RNA is filed under the name Microcebus murinus (gray mouse lemur). Lineage: Eukaryota; Metazoa; Chordata; Mammalia; Primates; Cheirogaleidae. The record is from RNAcentral.
GUCUAUAGCCAUACCACCCUGAACGCGCCCGAUCUCGUCUGAUCUCGGAAGCUAAGCAGGGUCAGGCCUGGUUAGUACUUGGAUGGGAGAUAUGAAAUUAUUAGGAUGCUUUACAAA